CAGGAGAUAAUUUAAGCUCUAGAAUAAUAGCUUUGGGAGUUAUUAGUAUAGGUGAAACUCCUAUUCUCCUGAA
RNAcentral lists this transfer RNA (73 nucleotides) under Diadema setosum. RNAcentral's name for it is "tRNA-Pro". It matches the Rfam family "tRNA". From Rfam's summary of the family: Transfer RNA (tRNA) molecules are approximately 80 nucleotides in length. Their secondary structure includes four short double-helical elements and three loops (D, anti-codon, and T loops). Further hydrogen bonds mediate the characteristic L-shaped molecular structure. tRNAs have two regions of fundamental functional importance: the anti-codon, which is responsible for specific mRNA codon recognition, and the 3' end, to which the tRNAs corresponding amino acid is attached (by aminoacyl-tRNA synthetases). tRNAs cope with the degeneracy of the genetic code in two manners: having more than one tRNA (with a specific anti-codon) for a particular amino acid; and 'wobble' base-pairing, i.e. permitting non-standard base-pairing at the 3rd anti-codon position. The record is from RNAcentral. Lineage: Eukaryota; Metazoa; Echinodermata; Echinoidea; Diadematoida; Diadematidae.